AGAGUAAUGAUCGUGCAAUAUUUCAAAUGAUAUUUCUACCAGUCACAUUGUGCUUAUGCUGCUCUCCUUUUAGAUCAUGUAUGCGUAUCCUGUGUUCCAUAAAACUCCUCAGGGUCGACUCCUGAUGGGGCCGACUGAGGAGGCAAAUAGGAGUACGGUGGUGGUGGCCGGGAGGGCCCGGCGUAAGGAGGAGGUUCUGGCCGAGGCAACUGCCUUUGUGAGGCAGAACGGAGGGGAUCCUGGUGACCAAUUCCUGGUUCUGGCUCAUUGUAAGAUCCAGUUUGGAAAACACCAGAACCAGAGGUUCCGCUGGCUGCUGGAGAACUCCCUGGGUUACGCGGUGUACCUGGUCAGCAGCAUCAUGGGGGAGGAGGAGAGGGACAACCCGCUGUCGGCCAGCAAACACCUGUUUCUCAGGUACACCUGCCAGAUCAGGGAGAUAGGGGAGGCUGUGGAGGUGUAUUGGAAGAAACAGGCGUUGCUCCAGGAGGCCCAGAGGAGCGGUGACUCUGGGUGUUUGAUGGUGGAGUUUGGCGACUUCAAGGGCAGGUCCAUGAAGGAGGUGUAUGAGGACCCAGGCAAGGAGGCCCAGGCUCUCGUCACCUACCUGAAGACAGCAAAGGCCAGGCCCAACACCAACAUGGCCCUUUUCAAGGACUAUGUGCUGAAGAGGCAGGCUUCAGCUGUAGCCCACCUGCCCACUGUGACAGCUCCUUCCUCCUCCUCCUCCGCUGCUGCUCCACCUGCUGCUGCUCGACCUGCUGCCACUCAGAGCAGGCCCCUGACGGCUGCCGGCGUUAACGCUCUGCUGGCACGUGGGAAGCAUUUGUCUCCCUCACAGUUGGCACGAAAAAUUGUUUCUCCAGCCAAACCCUCUCCAGUGCCACGUGUCCCCUCUCCAUCUACAUCCGCUGCCCGCAGACAGCUCUUUAACUGUGACGCUGUUGGUGCUGCUGGGGAUUUUUUUAAGGAGCAAGACGACCAGGAGAUGGUGACUGUGGCCUCGCAAGCUGAGGAAAAACUACCUCAAGAGAAUUAGCACUGAUCCCAGUGUCAGUCUACACUCACUCUUCAAAGCAAAAAGGGUAUUUAAAGCCUCAAGAGGCCCUGCUCCUCCUGCUCCUGCUCUUGCUCCUCCAGCGCUGUGGACUCCUGGCCCCGUGUUCCAGCCCCCUGCAGAGCUUCCUG
RNA transcript from Fundulus heteroclitus (mummichog), 1188 nucleotides. RefSeq lists it as uncharacterized. Lineage: Eukaryota; Metazoa; Chordata; Actinopteri; Cyprinodontiformes; Fundulidae. The transcript has 5 exons. The record is from RefSeq and is a predicted model, not a curated record.